UCUUGGUCUGGGACAACUGUUGGAAACGACAGCUAAUACCGGAUAUUAUGAGAUUCUCGCAUGGGAAACUUAUGAAAGCUAUAUGCGCCAAGAGAGAGCCUUGCGUUCCAUUAGCUAGUUGGUGGGGUAACGGCCCACCAAGGCGACGAUGGAUAGCCGGCCUGAGAGGGUGAACGGCCACAAGGGGACUGAGACACGGCCCUUACUCCUACGGGAGGCAGCAGUGGGGAAUAUUGGACAAUGGGCCACAAGCCUGAUCCAGCAAUUCUGUGUGCACGAUGAAGGUCUUCGGAUUGUAAAGUGCUUUCAGUUGGGAAGAAGAAAGUGACGGUACCAACAGAAGAAGCGACGGCUAAAUACGUGCCAGCAGCCGCGGUAAUACGUAUGUCGCAAGCGUUAUCCGGAUUUAUUGGGCGUAAAGCGCGUCUAGGCGGAAAAAUAAGUCUGAUGUUAAAAUGCGGGGCUCAACUCCGUAUUGCGUUGGAAACUGUUUUUCUAGAGUACUGGAGAGGUGGGCGGAACUACAAGUGUAGAGGUGAAAUUCGUAGAUAUUUGUAGGA
Molecule: ribosomal RNA, 560 nt
Filed under: uncultured bacterium
Lineage: Bacteria
Description: bacterial SSU rRNA
Rfam family: Bacterial small subunit ribosomal RNA
Source: RNAcentral